This 3259-nucleotide ribosomal RNA is filed under the name Triticum aestivum (bread wheat). Its description in RNAcentral is "partial small subunit ribosomal RNA". Lineage: Eukaryota; Viridiplantae; Streptophyta; Magnoliopsida; Poales; Poaceae. The record is from RNAcentral.
AAGCGAAGAAAUGAACGGUUUUCUCGCAAAGUAGAGCAUCCGGAGAAGAUUGGGGAAUCCUGGAAAGGCGCCAGCGACCGACCGCCGACUGUCUCGUAGCCAUCUCGAAAGCUCCCGUCAGAGAAGACACGCGGUGCCGCCUUCUCUUCCAGAGGCAUCCACCAGCUUUCCACUCCUUCCCAUGGCCACAAAAGCAAAGCGCGCACUGGCCGCCCACGUCUCUCCUCCGGUCCUCCUCCAUAUAACGCCGCUGCCCGUCACACAGCAGAUACGGAACACAUGACCACACGCAUAGCUGAGGGAAGCCAGGCACGCAGUAGAUCCCAGACCACACGUCCCAAAUUAAGCUCCGAUGGACGAGGGCAAGUAUCAGCAGGGCUGGCUCGCCGUCGGCCUGCCGCCGGCGCCGGUGCUCGCCGUCACCGGCAUCGUGACCUUUUUCCUCUACCUUUCGUGGCAGAUGGAUGAGUUCGAGGAGCAGCUGCGCCAUCGCACCCAGGCAGGCUUCUGGGUGCUCAUGGUGCUGGGACUCCUCGCCCUGGGCGUGCUCGCGCAGCAUGUGCUGUUCGACGGAGAGGGGAGGGUCGCCGUGCCCGCGGCAUGGCGAGGCCAGCCCGAGGGCGGCUCCGGCACGUCGCCGUGGGGCGUCGCGGCCCUUGUGGCUCUGCUGCUGGUGCUUGUGUCUCACAGGUCCGACUUCCAGAUAUUCAAGCCCCCGGGGUUUAGAUGAGCAUGCUUUUUUUUUCUCGAUGGAAAGCUAUGUAUCCCGAUGCAGAUAGCUAUGAUAUACUAUUAUUAUAUACAUAAAUUAGUAGAAGGUGUUUUUGCACGUCUGCAUGAUCAAGCAAAAUAACAUAAAUAAAAAAGAAUUACUCCCUCCGUCCCCGGAAAUUGCUUUUUGGAGGUCGGGAGCAUGGAGGCCUUCAAAUGCAAAAUUCAAAAUUUAUGAAAAUUCAUACUUUUACAUUUCAAAAAAUUCUGAAAAAAACUACGAAGAUAGAUGAAGGCAGAGUGCAAGUGCGUAAAUUUUCAGGACGAAAUGCCUUGCAAAAAAGACAAAUCUGAGCUUUUUUAACACAUAAUAUCAUCCCCACAAACCAGUAAUUUGUCUAUUUUGUAUAGGUCGCAUUUCAACGUAUUUCAUUCUAAAAUUUUACACACACGCGUCACAUCCUUAUUUAUUUGUACAAUUUUUCAGAAUAUUUUGAACCCGAUUUUUUUGAAUUUUGAAUUUUUAAAAAAGUGGGCCUCCAUGAAAGACGACAGACAAAAUGUCAUUCUCCUCCAUCCCAUAAUAUAAUAUAAGAUGUAAAUAUUGGAUCUAAUACAUUUCAAAUAUAAUCGGUAUAUAAUUGGAGAAAUUUGUGAUUGACGUUGUGUCCAAUGAAAGAAUGUUUAUAGUCUGGGUGAAAGCGAAGGAUGAGCCAAAGGAGACGAUAUAAUUCCCAUGCGGGAUCUAUUAUUGGGGAUCUAUGGGGCAUCUUUUUAGGGUUGUACAUCGAUUAGAGGGACAAUUAUUUGGCUUGAUGGCUGGGCGCAGAUCUUCAUAUAUUCCGUGUGCGGUGAUCAAGAUGGAGUGGCGUGCCAUCUACAGUAUUGACGAUGGCGAGUCUUGGCGGCAGGGUGCAGCGGGGGCUAGAUGCUGGAUACCGUUCAAUGGGCGCGUGCAGGAGGCAGGCCCUGUUUAGCAUUGCGGUGGCUUCAACGGCAGAAGGGUCUAAUAAGAUCAGUGCAUUGAUUGAUCCUAAAGAUGGGACUGCGAAAGAAGGUGGCGGCAGAUUCUACAGCAUGUGCAUGUGGUGCACAUUGAGGGUGUGCUUGACCGGUUGGUGCUUCCGGCUAGCUGGCGGGCGGCUUGGUGAGGCCACCGAUUUUUUUGGUGUGUGUGACGCACGGUCAGGGCACAUCAUCAAUCUUGUAGUAGGGCGACAAUUUUGCGAGGAAGGUGAUUUUGGAUUGAUCUAUGUAUUUAUUUUAUAAGAUCUUAUUAAAUAAUCCAAUAAAGAUGGUUGUGUGCAUCGCUCAAUGCAGAAGUCAGGGGGUAAUCCUUGUUUUCAAAAAAAUAGUGUAGACAUGCAAAAAAGAUAGUGUAGACAUGCAAAUUCUUCAUGAUCUGAAAAAUGUUUGCUUUGACUUUGAAAUAUUAUGUGAAGCCUUAUAUCAGUUUUAUGCAUGUGUGAUAUGUAUUAUCAGAUUGAGCUUGUUGUUGAAUUUGGCAAUUGGUGCAUGAUGAGGGUCAGAAUGGUAGGAGGAACUCCUGUCUAGAUGCAGAAAAAGCAUAAGGCUGGAGAUGAAGCUGAGUUCAUGGGUGAAAACAAGUGAAAUGACUUCCAUUUCGUGGUCUUAUUUGAGGAAGGGGCAGUUAUAAUGCCAAAUUUUGACACGGUCAUGCUCAAUACUACUAAAUUCUCCUCCGUCUCACAAGUAAAUCAAUAUCAAAGCUCAUAAGAUCUUGGUGGUGAAAAUAAGGAUUUUUUUUGGAGAAGUAAACUGGGGGAGAAGAUGUAUGUGUCAAAGAGAAUGUCAUUGGAGAAGGUGGUAAAAAAGUGAUGAACUAGAUCUGGUGUUUGAUUCUGGCGCAGUCGGGAAAGGUUGCAUUUCUAUUAGGAGGAAGGGGAAGAUGAGAUGAAGUCACAAGAAUCUUUAAUACCAAGUUCGAGAAGGCACGGGCUGGGGAAAGCUGGAGCAGCAAAUGGGUCCAAUGUUGUAACUGUUAGAAGAUACGAAAGGGUCAAAGGCCAGAAAGAUGGUAACAUGAUUGCACUUGCUAUGCGGAGGGAAACCUCUAAAAACAAUACACCAUAAAAGCCAAGAGAAAGGAAGAAUUGAGUAGGUGACCCUGAUGAUCAACAACGUGGUGCAAGACGACUAUGUAAGGAGCCAUGGUUGGAAUCCGUCACAGAUGCAUGAUCACUUGUUGAUAGGGCAUGUUGCCUAAUUUGGUCUUCAAAUCUUCUUCUUGAUGUAAGGGUGAUGUGAUUCAGAGGCUUUUCUAACUCUGUUGUAGUUGUUAAGUAGGAGCAAAGUUUUAAAUAGUUGGCUAUGGAAAAUAGCGGUAGAAGUGUUAGUGUGCUAAAUGGCAUUAAAUGACUUAGCAUGAUGCUCUUACAAAUGCUAGAUGGCGCUAUUUAAAACUGUGAGUAGGAGUGAUGCUUGGAUGAAGUUUCACUGUUUUAAGUUUCCUUGUUGCAUGCAAUGUUGUUUUUAUGUUUGGAUUUGAGUGUUGUAAGAAAACCAUCAAUUUCUUAAUGAAAUCAAC